Molecule: ribosomal RNA, 1153 nt
Filed under: Bacillus sonorensis
Lineage: Bacteria; Bacillati; Bacillota; Bacilli; Caryophanales; Bacillaceae
Description: bacterial SSU rRNA
Rfam family: Bacterial small subunit ribosomal RNA
Source: RNAcentral
AUGCUUGAUUGAACCGCAUGGUUCAAUUAUAAAAGGUGGCUUUUACCUACCACUUACAAAUGGACCCGCGGCGCAUUACCUAGUUGGUGAGGUAACGGCUCACCAAGGCAACAAUGCGUACCCAACCUGAAAGGGUGAUCGGCCACACUGGGACUGAAACACGGCCCAAACUCCUACGGGAGGCAGCAGUAGGGAAUCUUCCGCAAUGGACAAAAGUCUGACGGACCAACCCCGCGUGAGUGAUGAAGGUUUUCGGAUCGUAAAACUCUGUUGUUAGGGAAAAACAAGUACCGUUCGAAUAGGGCGGUACCUUGACGGUACCUAACCAAAAAGCCACGGCUAACUACGUGCCACCACCCGCGGUAAUACGUAGGUGGCAAGCGUUGUCCGGAAUUAUUGGGCGUAAAGCGCGCGCAGGCGGUUUCUUAAGUCUGAUGUGAAAGCCCCCGGCUCACCCGGGGAGGGUCAUUGGAAACUGGGGAACUUGAGUGCAAAAAAGGAGAGUGAAAUUCCACGUGUAGCGGUGAAAUGCGUAGAGAUGUGAAGAAACACCAGUGGCGAAGGCGACUCUCUGGUCUGUAACUGACGCUGAGGCGCGAAAGCGUGGGAGCGAACAGGAUUAGAUACCCUGGUAGUCCACGCCGUAAACGAUGAGUGCUAAGUGUUAGAGGGUUUCCGCCCUUUAGUGCUGCAGCAAACGCAUUAAGCACUCCGCCUGGGGAGUACGGUCGCAAGACUGAAACUCAAAGGAAUUGACGGGGGCCCGCACAAGCGGUGGAGCAUGUGGUUUAAUUCGAAGCAACGCGAAGAACCUUACCAGGUCUUGACAUCCUCUGACAACCCUAGAGAUAGGGCUUCCCCUUCGGGGGCAGAGUGACAGGUGGUGCAUGGUUGUCGUCAGCUCGUGUCGUGAGAUGUUGGGUUAAGUCCCGCAACGAGCGCAACCCUUGAUCUUAGUUGCCAGCAUUCAGUUGGGCACUCUAAGGUGACUGCCGGUGACAAACCGGAGGAAGGUGGGGGACGUCAAAUCAUCAUGCCCCUUAUGACCUGGGCUACACACGUGCUACAAUGGGCAGAACAAAGGGCAGCGAAGCCGCGAGGCUAAGCCAAUCCCACAAAUCUGUUCUCAGUUCGGAUCGCAGUCUGCAACUCG